CGCAGGGUCACCGAUCUCUUUCUGUACGGUGUGACGGACUACUCCGACGAGCAGAUCAAUGUUUUCGAUGACGUCUUUCAUUGUCUGAUCGAAGAAAUCGAGACUUCGGCCAAGGCCCUGCUGGCGAAACGCAUGGCGCCAGUGCCGAAAGCGCCCCCGCGCCUGAUUUACACACUUGCCUUCGACGACGAGAUCGAGGUU
RNAcentral lists this unclassified non-coding RNA (201 nucleotides) under Hevea brasiliensis (rubber tree). The record is from RNAcentral. Lineage: Eukaryota; Viridiplantae; Streptophyta; Magnoliopsida; Malpighiales; Euphorbiaceae.